Molecule: small nuclear RNA, 200 nt
Organism: Hyla sarda
Lineage: Eukaryota; Metazoa; Chordata; Amphibia; Anura; Hylidae
Product: U2 spliceosomal RNA
Exons: 1
Source: RefSeq, a predicted model, not a curated record
GUCGCUUCUCGGCCUUUUGGCUAAGAUCAAGUGUAGUAUCUGUUCUUAUCAGUUCAAUGCCGGUGGAGAAACACGCUGGUGUGGGGCUGGUUGGGAUGGGUGCUGCAUGGAGGGGGCAGGUGUACUGGGGCUGGUGCCACGUAACCAGCUCAACGGCUGCCCUGAUGUGACCUGUUUCCUCCGGGUCUCGCCAUGAGGUU